RNAcentral lists this transfer RNA (73 nucleotides) under Aplysina cauliformis (row pore rope sponge). RNAcentral describes it as "tRNA-Cys". It matches the Rfam family "tRNA". From Rfam's summary of the family: Transfer RNA (tRNA) molecules are approximately 80 nucleotides in length. The record is from RNAcentral. RNAcentral also lists the same sequence under 1 other name. Lineage: Eukaryota; Metazoa; Porifera; Demospongiae; Verongiida; Aplysinidae.
GGCGUUAUAGCAUAAUUGGUAUUGCAAUAGUUUGCAAAACUAUUAAGUAUAGGUUCAACUCCUAUUAACGCAU